UCUGGCUGCUGUUGACCUUGUUUUUGGAGUAAAACACUGUGGAAGCUGACUUAGUGAGGAUGACUCCUGCUCCUGUCAUCUCUAAGCUCCUCACACAUCUUUACCUGCACAUGAGGAAAAUCACUCCUGUAGAAUGCAGGGUGGAUCCUACCUAGACCAGGCUGAUCCUGGACCAUCCCACAGAUGCUCAAUCAGAUGUGGAUGUGGGGAGUGUGGAACCCAGAUGUUCAGAGGGAGAUGAUGCCACAUCUGGUCCAGCCGAUGGAAGGUCUUGAAGUUCUCUGACUGGCCUCGACUGAAGAUGGUCGUCUCACUGGAUUUAAGGUUCAGAUGCUCAGUAACAAACUCCACCAAUGAGCCAACAGGGAAGCUUUAGGUUUA
This is a long non-coding RNA of Amphiprion ocellaris (clown anemonefish), 381 nucleotides long. NCBI's taxonomy places the organism in Eukaryota, Metazoa, Chordata, Actinopteri, Pomacentridae. The record is from Ensembl.